This 430-nucleotide ribosomal RNA is filed under the name uncultured bacterium. RNAcentral describes it as "bacterial SSU rRNA". It matches the Rfam family "Bacterial small subunit ribosomal RNA", at positions 28 to 444 of the family's 1533-position model. The record is from RNAcentral.
GAUGAACGCUAGCUACAGGCUUAACACAUGCAAGUCGAGGGGAAACGAUAUUGGAAGCUUGCUUCCGAUAGGCGUCGACCGGCGCACGGGUGAGUAACGCGUAUCCAACCUGCCCGUCACUUGGGAAUAACCUUGCGAAAGUAAGACUAAUGCCCAAUGACAUUUAUAGAAGGCAUCUGAAAUGAAUUAAAGAUUUAUCGGUGAUGGAUGGGGAUGCGUCUGAUUAGCUUGUUGGCGGGGUAACGGCCCACCAAGGCGACGAUCAGUAGGGGUUCUGAGAGGAAGGUCCCCCANAUUGGAACUGAGACACGGUCCAAACUCCUACGGGAGGCAGCAGUGAGGAAUAUUGGGUCCAAUGGACGAGAGUCUGAACCAGCCAAGUAGCGUGCAGGAUGACGGCCCUAUGGGUUGUAAACUGCUUUUAUAAGGG